Molecule: long non-coding RNA, 365 nt
Filed under: Mus pahari (shrew mouse)
Lineage: Eukaryota; Metazoa; Chordata; Mammalia; Rodentia; Muridae
Description: lncRNA (MGP_PahariEiJ_G0003487.1)
Source: RNAcentral
GGCACGUGCCUUGCAGGGCGCCGGGGUCUCUUGGUGGCGCGGUUGCGGCCCACCGGGACAUUGGUCAGGGGCCCCCUGGUGCCUGAGCCCAGAGCAGCUCAGAGCUGGCUGCCUCUGCCCGACCCCGCGGCCCUGGUGUGGUCGGCGACCUCAGCCCAUGGUUCACCCCCGGGUUGGAUGCCACAAUUUCCGCGUCCGGCCACACUGGGCGUCAGAGGAGGGGUGCACGCGGAGAAAACCCUGCACAGAUCCCGAUGCUCCCUUCGGUUGUCCACUCCUCCUCUUCUCUGCCGGCUACUCCGGAGCUGGUGCCUACACAGUCAAGACUCCGAAGCCUAACACCCGUCUCAUUUCCAGCACCUUUC